UGUGCACCCUAAAGCACAAGCACACGCCGCGUAUAUGUAUGUAUAUGUAUAUGUGUAUAUAUAUAUGUAUAUAUAUAUAUAUAAAUAUAUAUACACUGCUGUGUGUGUGUGUGCUGUGUGAGGGUGCUGG
Non-coding RNA from Pelobates cultripes (western spadefoot toad), 130 nucleotides. The record is from the annotation of a GenBank genome assembly. Lineage: Eukaryota; Metazoa; Chordata; Amphibia; Anura; Pelobatidae.